RNAcentral lists this ribosomal RNA (450 nucleotides) under uncultured bacterium. RNAcentral's name for it is "partial 16S ribosomal RNA". It matches the Rfam family "Bacterial small subunit ribosomal RNA", at positions 354 to 796 of the family's 1533-position model. The record is from RNAcentral.
GUGGGGAAUAUUGGACAAUGGGCGCAAGCCUGAUCCAGCCAUGCCGCGUGUGUGAAGAAGGCCUUCGGGUUGUAAAGCACUUUUGUCCGGGAAGAAAUCUUCCAGGUUAAUACCCUGGGAGGCUGACGGUACCGGAAGAAUAAGCACCGGCUAACUUCGUGCCAGCAGCCGCGGUAAUACGAAGGGUGCAAGCGUUACUCGGAAUUACUGGGCGUAAAGCGUGCGUAGGUGGUUCGUUAAGUCUGCCGUGAAAGCCCCGGGCUCAACCUGGGAAUGGCGGUGGAUACUGGCGGGCUAGAGUGCGGUAGAGGGUGGUGGAAUUCCCGGUGUAGCAGUGAAAUGCGUAGAGAUCGGGAGGAACAUCUGUGGCGAAGGCGGCCACCUGGACCAGCACUGACACUGAGGCACGAAAGCGUGGGGAGCAAAAGGGAUUAGAUACCCCGGUAGUCC